RNAcentral lists this ribosomal RNA (1346 nucleotides) under uncultured bacterium. RNAcentral's name for it is "bacterial SSU rRNA". It matches the Rfam family "Bacterial small subunit ribosomal RNA", at positions 28 to 1381 of the family's 1533-position model. The record is from RNAcentral.
GACGAACGCUGGCGGCGUGCUUAACACAUGCAAGUCGAACGGAAAGGCCCUGCUUUUGUGGGGUGCUCGAGUGGCGAACGGGUGAGUAACACGUGAGUAACCUGCCCUUGACUUUGGGAUAACUUCAGGAAACUGGGGCUAAUACCGGAUAGGAGCUCCUGCUGCAUGGUGGGGGUUGGAAAGUUUCGGCGGUUGGGGAUGGACUCGCGGCUUAUCAGCUUGUUGAUGGGGUAGUGGCCUACCAAGGCUUUGACGGGUAGCCGGCCUGAGAGGGUGACCGGCCACAUUGGGACUGAGAUACGGCCCAGACUCCUACGGGAGGCAGCAGUGGGGAAUAUUGCACAAUGGGCGGAAGCCUGAUGCAGCAACGCCGCGUGCGGGAUGACGGCCUUCGGGUUGUAAACCGCUUUCGCCUGUGACGAAGCGUGAGUGACGGUAAUGGGUAAAGAAGCACCGGCUAACUACGUGCCAGCAGCCGCGGUGAUACGUAGGGUGCGAGCGUUGUCCGGAUUUAUUGGGCGUAAAGGGCUCGUAGGUGGUUGAUCGCGUCGGAAGUGUAAUCUUGGGGCUUAACCCUGAGCGUGCUUUCGAUACGGGUUGACUUGAGGAAGGUAGGGGAGAAUGGAAUUCCUGGUGGAGCGGUGGAAUGCGCAGAUAUCAGGAGGAACACCAGUGGCGAAGGCGGUUCUCUGGGCCUUUCCUGACGCUGAGGAGCGAAAGCGUGGGGAGCGAACAGGCUUAGAUACCCUGGUAGUCCACGCUGUAAACGGUGGGUACUAGGUGUGGGGUCCAUUCCACGGGUUCCGUGCCGUAGCUAACGCUUUAAGUACCCCGCCUGGGGAGUACGGCCGCAAGGCUAAAACUCAAAGGAAUUGACGGGGCCCCGCACAAGCGGCGGAGCAUGCGGAUUAAUUCGAUGCAACGCGUAGAACCUUACCUGGGUUUGACAUGGAUCGGGAGUACUCAGAGAUGGGUGUGCCUCUUUUGGGGUCGGUUCACAGGUGGUGCAUGGCUGUCGUCAGCUCGUGUCGUGAGAUGUUGGGUUAAGUCCCGCAACGAGCGCAACCCUUGUUCACUGUUGCCAGCACGUUAUGGUGGGGACUCAGUGGAGACCGCCGGGGUCAACUCGGAGGAAGGUGGGGAUGACGUCAAGUCAUCAUGCCCCUUAUGUCCAGGGCUUCACGCAUGCUACAAUGGCUGGUACAGAGAGUGGCGAGCCUGUGAGGGUGAGCGAAUCUCGGAAAGCCGGUCUCAGUUCGGAUUGGGGUCUGCAACUCGACCUCAUGAAGUCGGAGUCGCUAGUAAUCGCAGAUCAGCAACGCUGCGGUGAAUACGUUCCCGGGGCU